Molecule: long non-coding RNA, 867 nt
Organism: Cucurbita moschata (crookneck pumpkin)
Lineage: Eukaryota; Viridiplantae; Streptophyta; Magnoliopsida; Cucurbitales; Cucurbitaceae
Exons: 4
Source: RefSeq, a predicted model, not a curated record
GAAAACUGUGAUGAUUCUGAUACGUAACGGGUCAAAAUGGAUAAUAUCUUAUAGUGGUUGUUUUGGGCUGUUAGAAUUGGUAUCCAAGUUAGGUACGGGACAGUGUGACAGCAAGGACUCUGGCCCCCAAUAAGAAAAAUUGUCUCAUUCUUCUUUCAGUGUCUUGUUCGACAUGAGGAUUCUAUUAACAUGGCUACAUAGUAGAUUAAGAGCAUGGUUUUGCUUUGGGGUUCUCCAAAAGGCCUCGUAUCAAUGGAGAUGUAUUCUUUACUUAUAAACCCAUAAUCAUUCCUUAAAUGAAUUAGUGAGCGUGGAUUCCUCCACAAUCCUCAACACUCCUUCUACGUCAAACUUUUUAACUGUUCAAGGCGAAGAAGGAAUCAUAGAAAGCUCAGCUAGCGUGAUCCAUGGUUCUUGGUGAUCCAGUAAGUUGAUAACUGUCAAGACUAACAGCAUAUAUCUUCCUCUGGUAACUUCAAGGCGAGGAAGGAAUCCUUAAAGAGCUGCAGCUAGCUGGAUUUCAUGGGUUUUGGCGAUCCAGUACUCUCCUCAAAUACAAUUUCAAGAUUAGGUUGAUGGUGCAAAAGAAGUAGAUGAAAGGCUUCAGGGUGGGCUUAUGAGUGGAGCCCCUGAACGUAAGGGCUCAAGCAACCCAAACAUGUAUACGAAGAAAGGAGUGCUUAAGCAGUCGGAUGCCAAAGCUUUCAAUUUGAUUGGUUCAAAGCCACUGGGACUCAUUAUGUAUAGUUCAGAAGACACUUCCAGUAGGUAUUAAAAAUAUAAGUCACAAGGUAAGAAUUAUUGAAUUAAGAUUACUGUGGGUCCUACGUGGACUGGGGAGGAGAAUAAACCACCAUUUAUAAGGGU